This is a small nuclear RNA of Gracilinanus agilis (Agile Gracile Mouse Opossum), 111 nucleotides long. The record is from RefSeq and is a predicted model, not a curated record. Lineage: Eukaryota; Metazoa; Chordata; Mammalia; Didelphimorphia; Didelphidae.
GUGUUCUUAGUUUUGCAACACCUUUAAUAAAAUAUAAAUGAUAGUGAGAAGAUUAGCAUAUGACCCCUGCACAAAAUUGAGAUACAAAUUAAUGAAGCCCUCCAAAUUUUU